AUUGAACGCUGGCGGAAUGCUUUACACAUGCAAGUCGAACGGCAGCACGGGGCAACCUGGUGGCGAGUGGCGAACGGGUGAGUAAUAUAUCGGAACGUGCCCAAUCGUGGGGGAUAACGUAGCGAAAGUUACGCUAAUACCGCAUAUUCUGUGAGCAGGAAAGCAGGGGACCGCAAGGCCUUGCGCUCUUUGAGCGGCCGAUGUCAGAUUAGCUAGUUGGUGAGGUAACGGCUUACCAAGGCGACGAUCUGUAGCGGGUCUGAGAGGAUGAUCCGCCACACUGGAACUGAGACACGGUCCAGACUCCUACGGGAGGCAGCAGUGGGGAAUUUUGGACAAUGGGCGCAAGCCUGAUCCAGCCAUGCCGCGUGAGUGAAGAAGGCCU
Molecule: ribosomal RNA, 385 nt
Filed under: uncultured bacterium
Lineage: Bacteria
Description: bacterial SSU rRNA
Rfam family: Bacterial small subunit ribosomal RNA
Source: RNAcentral